ACCACUAAUAUUUUCUUUUCCCUACCACUAAUCUUUUUCCCUACCACCACUAAUUUGUUUUCAUACCACUACGCUUUGUAAAAAAAAAAAUAGCUUUUAGUCAUGCCCUUAUAUCCUUACUUCUCUCUGCACAACCAAAGUUGGAAUUCAUAGAAGCCUUUAAGCUCCAAGAGUAGUAUCAAAGUAAGGGAGAGCGUGGGAAACCUAGGGCGUAAAGUUAGAGUGAAGAUUGUGCUUCGAGGGCUUUGAGCAUCAGGAGGACUAGCACUGCUAUUCCGAUUCAGAGAUAAGGUUAAACGACAGGCUUUGCCUAUACAGGUUAAUUGGUCGGUGCUGACGGGGCAGAGCUGAGGCUAGGGUUCAACUCCGUAUUUUGUCUUCCGCUGUUGCACUAGCUUUUAUUUGUCUUUUGUUUCUCUAACUUAAGACUUUUAUGUUAAAUUCUGAAUUAUGUUUUAUCGAGCUUAAACUCUCAACUUCUAGCUCUAUGUUAUUUAACGUUGGUUAUCGGAAACAUGAAACUGAACUUAUGAUCCUAAGGCUUAGAAUGUUGUUGAUUGAUUAGUAUCACCUGAUUUUUGUCUUUCUUCACUCAAAGGGUGAUCCCCGAUUUUUAUCCUAUUAUUUGAAUCCCACAAGGUUCUUUCCUUGUUUAUUUCUAUGAUUUAGUCGCAC
Molecule: long non-coding RNA, 675 nt
Organism: Salvia miltiorrhiza (redroot sage)
Lineage: Eukaryota; Viridiplantae; Streptophyta; Magnoliopsida; Lamiales; Lamiaceae
Exons: 3
Source: RefSeq, a predicted model, not a curated record